UCUCCGUAGGUGAACCUGCGGAGGGAUCAUUACUGAGUGAGGGCUCACGCCCGACCUCCAACCCUUUGCAAUCCAUACCAUGUUGCCUCGGGGGCGACCCGGCCUUCGGGUGUCGGGGCCCCCGGCGGACCCCCCAACGCUGCAUCUUUGCGUCCGAGUCUGAUUUGAAUCAAUCAAAACUUUCAACAACGGAUCUCUUGGUUCUGGCAUCGAUGAAGAACGCAGC
RNAcentral lists this unclassified non-coding RNA (226 nucleotides) under uncultured fungus. RNAcentral describes it as "sequence contains ITS1, 5.8S rRNA gene". The stretch from base 178 to 226 matches the Rfam family "5.8S ribosomal RNA", at positions 1 to 49 of the family's 154-position model. The record is from RNAcentral. Lineage: Eukaryota; Fungi.